This 253-nucleotide ribosomal RNA is filed under the name uncultured bacterium. Its description in RNAcentral is "partial 16S ribosomal RNA". It matches the Rfam family "Bacterial small subunit ribosomal RNA", at positions 524 to 776 of the family's 1533-position model. The record is from RNAcentral.
UACGUAGGGUGCAAGCGUUAAUCGGAAUUACUGGGCGUAAAGCGUGCGCAGGCGGCUUUGCAAGACAGAUGUGAAAUCCCUGGGCUCAACCCAGGAACUGCGUCCGAUACUGGAAGGCUUGAGUCCGGGAGAGGGAUGCGGAAUUCCAGGUGUAGCGGUGAAAUGCGUAGAUAUCUGGAGGAACACCGGUGGCGAAGGCGGCAUCCUGGACCGGCAUUGACGCUGAGGCGCGAAAGCCAGGGGAGCAAACGGG